CCCUUAGAUGUUCUGGGCCGCACGCGUGCUACACUGAGUGGAUCAGCGGGUCAGGUUGCGCGAAAGUGUUUCCUGAUCUUGAAAUCCGCUCGUGAUGGGGAUUGACGGUUGCAAUUUUCCGUCAUGAACGAGGAAUACCUUGUAAGCGCGGGUCAUCAUCCCGCGCUGAAUACGUCCCUGCCCUUUGUACACACCGCCCGUCGCUCCUACCGAUUGAGUGGUCCGGUGAGGCUUUGGGAUCUGAGCAAAGAGAGCGUUUCGCUCGUUUUGCCCGGAAAACUCAGUCGAACCUUAUCAUUUAGAGGAAGGAGAAGUCGUAACA
Molecule: ribosomal RNA, 322 nt
Filed under: uncultured eukaryote
Lineage: Eukaryota
Description: partial 18S ribosomal RNA
Rfam family: Eukaryotic small subunit ribosomal RNA
Source: RNAcentral